UGUACAAAGGUAGCAUAAUCACUUGUCUUUUAAUUGAAGUCUGGUAUGAAUGGUUGGAUGAAAAGUUUACUUUCUUUAUUUUAAAUAUAUAAAUUAAUUUUUAAGUUAAAAGGCUUAAAUGGUGGUGUAGGACGAGAAGACCCUAUAGAACUUUACUUUUGUUAAAAUUGAUAUUUUUAGUAAAUGAAUUUUUGUUUAUAUGCGGGAGUUUGGUUGGGGUGACAAAAAAAAUUUUAUAACUUUUUUUAUUUAAUUCAUUUAUGUUUGAAUUUUUGAUCUCCUUUUAGGAAAAAAAGAUUAAGUUACCUUAGGGAUAACAGCGUUAUUGUCUUGGAGAGUUCUUAUUGAUAAGGCAGUUUGCGACCUCGAUGUUGGAUUAAAAUUGGCUUUAGAGGCACAAAGUUAAUAGGCUAGGUCUGUUCGACCUUUAAAUUUUUACAUGAUCUGAAUUCAAACCGGAGA
RNAcentral lists this ribosomal RNA (462 nucleotides) under Hypseloecus weirauchi. RNAcentral describes it as "partial 16S ribosomal RNA". It matches the Rfam family "Bacterial large subunit ribosomal RNA", at positions 1947 to 2622 of the family's 2925-position model. Lineage: Eukaryota; Metazoa; Arthropoda; Insecta; Hemiptera; Miridae. The record is from RNAcentral.